This 671-nucleotide long non-coding RNA is filed under the name Homo sapiens (human). RNAcentral describes it as "non-protein coding lnc-C13orf42-8:1". Lineage: Eukaryota; Metazoa; Chordata; Mammalia; Primates; Hominidae. The record is from RNAcentral.
GACAAAGGGAAAAAAGGGCAAGAUUUAUAAUUUAUUUUACUUUCAUGAUUUUUCCAAGUGUCUUCAGAAGUAGAAACCUAUAGCAUUAAAAAAAAAAAUCUACAUUAACUAUAUAUGAGCUGAGAGAAUGAGAAGGUAAAAAACAUGGAGGAUAAGUUUCCUUUGUACUUACGAAAUAGUCCCCUUUCUUAGGAUAGAAGAUAGCAACUGGGUAGCUUCUGAAGCACCAUAAAAACAGCUAGAAAGAAUGCUUAUUUUUGAGGGGAUAGUGGACAAAUGAGCCCUUGUUGCUAGAGAGACACUGAUAAAUUAUCUGAAUCCUGUCAAAAAAUACUGUAAUACCUGUGUUAGGUUCUCUCAGGAAAUAGAUGAAUGGCCGAUCUGCUUUAAAAAUAGGAAUCCGAGACCUUUUCAAUAACAACAGAGCUGCAGGAAAGAAAGAAAAAUUCCAUUGCAUUUUCUGUGCAUUUUUAAGAAAAUAACUAUUGGUUAUGAAGUAAGUUAAUUUUUUAAGAAAUCAAAGCAUCCUAAUGGCAUUUGAUUGUUUACUGUUGUGAUGGGGGUGCAGAUGGGAAAAUUAAAGAGAAAAGAUGCCAUUUAGCCAAUCCUGUCUCCUGUUUUCAACACAUUCCAUGGAAUAAAUUCCUUAUUGAAGGUAACUUUCAGAAUUA